CAGGCACUACAACGACGGACAAAGCAACAACAGCCAAGGAGGAGCUGGCAAAAGGAAUUCGACAGCCGGUGGAAGAGCAGGAACGUCGACGUCGAUGUGAGGAUCUCUGCAAUUUUAUAAAUUUUAAUAAUCUUUAAUUUAUUUUAAUAUUCGAUAAUUUUUUAUUUGUUUUCAAUAAAUAAUGUAUUGAUCAGU
Non-coding RNA from Caenorhabditis elegans, 195 nucleotides. Lineage: Eukaryota; Metazoa; Nematoda; Chromadorea; Rhabditida; Rhabditidae. The record is from Ensembl.